This 1346-nucleotide ribosomal RNA is filed under the name uncultured bacterium. RNAcentral describes it as "partial 16S ribosomal RNA". It matches the Rfam family "Bacterial small subunit ribosomal RNA", at positions 28 to 1381 of the family's 1533-position model. The record is from RNAcentral.
GACGAACGCUUGCGGCGUGCUUAACACAUGCAAGUCGAACGGAAAGGCCCUGCUUUUGUGGGGUGCUCGAGUGGCGAACGGGUGAGUAACACGUGAGUAACCUGCCCUUGACUUUGGGAUAACUUCAGGAAACUGGGGCUAAUACCGGAUAGGAGCUCCUGCUGCAUGGUGGGGGUUGGAAAGUUUCGGCGGUUGGGGAUGGACUCGCGGCUUAUCAGCUUGUUGGUGGGGUAGUGGCUUACCAAGGCUUUGACGGGUAGCCGGCCUGAGAGGGUGACCGGCCACAUUGGGACUGAGAUACGGCCCAGACUCCUACGGGAGGCAGCAGUGGGGAAUAUUGCACAAUGGGCGGAAGCCUGAUGCAGCAACGCCGCGUGCGGGAUGACGGCCUUCGGGUUGUAAACCGCUUUCGCCUGUGACGAAGCGUGAGUGACGGUAAUGGGUAAAGAAGCACCGGCUAACUACGUGCCAGCAGCCGCGGUGAUACGUAGGGUGCGAGCGUUGUCCGGAUUUAUUGGGCGUAAAGGGCUCGUAGGUGGUUGAUCGCGUCGGAAGUGUAAUCUUGGGGCUUAACCCUGAGCGUGCUUUCGAUACGGGUUGACUUGAGGAAGGUAGGGGAGAAUGGAAUUCCUGGUGGAGCGGUGGAAUGCGCAGAUAUCAGGAGGAACACCAGUGGCGAAGGCGGUUCUCUGGGCCUUUCCUGACGCUGAGGAGCGAAAGCGUGGGGAGCGAACAGGCUUAGAUACCCUGGUAGUCCACGCUGUAAACGGUGGGUACUAGGUGUGGGGUCCAUUCCACGGGUUCCGUGCCGUAGCUAGCGCUUUAAGUACCCCGCCUGGGGAGUACGGCCGCAAGGCUAAAACUCAAAGGAAUUGACGGGGCCCCGCACAAGCGGCGGAGCAUGCGGAUUAAUUCGAUGCAACGCGUAGAACCUUACCUGGGUUUGACAUGGAUCGGGAGUGCUCAGAGAUGGGUGUGCCUCUUUUGGGGUCGGUUCACAGGUGGUGCAUGGCUGUCGUCAGCUCGUGUCGUGAGAUGUUGGGUUAAGUCCCGCAACGAGCGCAACCCUUGUUCACUGUUGCCAGCACGUUAUGGUGGGGACUCAGUGGAGACCGCCGGGGUCAACUCGGAGGAAGGUGGGGAUGACGUCAAGUCAUCAUGCCCCUUAUGUCCAGGGCUUCACGCAUGCUACAAUGGCUGGUACAGAGAGUGGCGAGCCUGUGAGGGUGAGCGAAUCUCGGAAAGCCGGUCUCAGUUCGGAUUGGGGUCUGCAACUCGACCUCAUGAAGUCGGAGUCGCUAGUAAUCGCAGAUCAGCAACGCUGCGGUGAAUACGUUCCCGGGGCU